This 76-nucleotide transfer RNA is filed under the name Planctomycetota bacterium. Its description in RNAcentral is "tRNA-Ala". It matches the Rfam family "tRNA". From Rfam's summary of the family: Transfer RNA (tRNA) molecules are approximately 80 nucleotides in length. Their secondary structure includes four short double-helical elements and three loops (D, anti-codon, and T loops). The record is from RNAcentral. Lineage: Bacteria; Pseudomonadati; Planctomycetota.
GGGGGCGUAGCUCAGUUGGUAGAGCACCUGGUUUGCAACCAGGCGGUCGUCGGUUCGAAUCCGGUCGCCUCCACCA